This 105-nucleotide ribosomal RNA is filed under the name Staphylococcus aureus. Lineage: Bacteria; Bacillati; Bacillota; Bacilli; Caryophanales; Staphylococcaceae. The record is from RNAcentral.
UGGUGACUAUAGCAAGGAGGUCACACCUGUUCCCAUGCCGAACACAGAAGUUAAGCUCCUUAGCGUCGAUGGUAGUCGACACAAAGAAAAAUGGCUUGGCGAAGU